RNAcentral lists this ribosomal RNA (199 nucleotides) under uncultured bacterium. Its description in RNAcentral is "partial 16S ribosomal RNA". It matches the Rfam family "Bacterial small subunit ribosomal RNA", at positions 762 to 965 of the family's 1533-position model. The record is from RNAcentral.
ACUGUAGCGAAAGGGAUUAGAUACCCCUGUAGUCCUAGCAGUAAACGGUGCACGCUUGGUUGAGGGGAAUCGACCCCCCUUGUGCCGGAGCUUCAGCGUUAAGCAUGCCGCCUGGGAAGUAACGUCGCACUAAAACUCAAAGAAAUUGACGGGGACCCGCACAAGCGGUGGAGUGUGGCUUAAUUCGAUGCAACGCGCC